RNAcentral lists this ribosomal RNA (476 nucleotides) under uncultured bacterium. RNAcentral describes it as "bacterial SSU rRNA". It matches the Rfam family "Bacterial small subunit ribosomal RNA", at positions 328 to 793 of the family's 1533-position model. The record is from RNAcentral.
UGACAGUACUCCUACGGGGAGGCAGCAGUGGGGGAAUAUUGCACAAUGGGCGCAAGCCUGAUGCAGCCAUGCCGCGUGUAUGAAGAAGGCCUUCGGGUUGUAAAGUACUUUCAGCAGUGAGGAAGGUAGUGUAGUUAAUAGCUGCAUUAUUUGACGUUAGCUGCAGAAGAAGCACCGGCUAACUCCGUGCCAGCAGCCGCGGUAAUACGGAGGGUGCGAGCGUUAAUCGGAAUUACUGGGCGUAAAGCGCAUGCAGGUGGUUUGUUAAGUCAGAUGUGAAAGCCCGGGGCUCAACCUCGGAAUAGCAUUUGAAACUGGCAGACUAGAGUACUGUAGAGGGGGGUAGGAAUUUCAGGUGUAGCGGUGAAAUGCGUAGAGAUCUGAAGGAAUACCGGUGGCGAAGGCGGCCCCCUGGACAGAUACUGACACUCAGAUGCGAAAGCGUGGGGAGCAAACAGGAUUAGAUACCCUGGUAG